RNAcentral lists this long non-coding RNA (443 nucleotides) under Homo sapiens (human). Its description in RNAcentral is "HSALNT0224269". The record is from RNAcentral. Lineage: Eukaryota; Metazoa; Chordata; Mammalia; Primates; Hominidae.
AAAUGACAAGAGAAGAAGCCAUUGACAUCAAAAUGCUACAUGACUCUCCUGAGUGCAGCUGCCAAGUGGGUAAAGAGAGUGGAUGGGGCCAGGUACAUUAGAGCCUGGAGUGUGAUCAUCUGAAGAAUGCAUGUUCAAAAUUCUGAAAUCCAGGGCACUUGUAUGUAAACUUCCAGUUUUGAAAUGGGAGUGGGCUACUGAUUUGCUACUUAUUAGACAAACCUAAGAUGAAAAUUUUAGGUGCUAGAAGUAAGGAAACAUUGGGUUCUGUUUCAAAGGUGGUGCAGGGAUGGGGAUGCGGUACUGUCACUUGCUAAGAGUAAAGGGAGAGGAACAAACCACAAGGGAAAAGGACAAGACAUUGGCAUGAAUUGAAGGAAGAAGCCUUAACCCAAACUAAUGAGUGGCCUUUGAAUGAGGGCAUGACAUGAGAGGUAAACUAG